AUUGAUGACUUGUGUGGCUUUUAACCAUAUCUGGGAAACUCUCAUACCCUCAUUGCCUUUGCUUGGAGGAUGUCCCUGCUGGUCCUGGCAGCCCUCACACUGCGCAGUCUUUCCACACACUACAGCCCAAGGAGUCAUCUGCUUGUGGUUUGGUAGCUUCAACCUUGUUCUCUACAACCAUCCCCCAUGCCGGUUCUCAGCUCAGAAAACUUCAAUGACUUCCAUUAUCCGCUGAAGUUUUAACUUUUACAUACAAACCUGAAUGGAAACAUUCAGGUUUUCCAGGAUAUGGCCUUUGCUGUCAUUUCCUCCUUGUUAUCCUUUCUCCCUCCCUCCAUAUUUUCCACAAAUGAUUUGGAAAUACUGUAAAAACCUCUAUAUUAAGUGCUGGGGAUAUAUUGAUGAUCAAGCUGCCUUUGUAAAGUGUGCAGAUAAAAGAGAGAUCCACAGAGAAGUAAUUCAAGUCAAGCAGGAUGAGUGAUUUGGUAGGGCAGUGUCGGGGCAACAGGAGGAUGCACAGGGAACUUCAACAAAUUGACCAGGCUGAUUUCUCUGAAGAAGGAACACGUCAGUGGAAAUGUGUGAAAACUGAUCAACAGAAGAAGGGGCUUGAUCUACUUUCCGUCUUAGAAUGUGUGCUCAGGUUGCGGUGUGUACGGUGUGGAUAAAUGAUUUGGGCCAGUGGCUUUCAAACUUGAGUGUGAGUCAGAAUCUUCCAGAGGGCUUUGUAGAACACCACUGCAGGACUCCCUCUCCUAGUAGGUUUGGGGGAGACCCUGAGAAUCUCCAUUUUUUUUUUUGAGACGGGGUUUCACUCUUGUGGCCCAGGCUGGAGUGCAGUGCUGCCGUCUUGGCUCACCGCAAGCUCCGCUUCCCGGGUUCAAGCGAUUCUCCUGCCUCAGCCUCCCACGUAGCUGGGAUUACAGGGGCCCGCCACCAUGCCUGGCUAAUUUUUUGUAUUUUUUAGUAGAGACGGGGUUUGGCCAUGUUGGGCAGGCUGCUCUCCUGACCUCAGGUGAUCCGCCCGCCUCAGCCUCCCAAAGUGCUGGGAUUACAGGCGUGAGCCACCGUGCCCGGCCGAGAAUCUGCAUUUUUAACAAGCUCCCAGGAGAAGCUGAAGCUGCUGAUCCUGGGACUGCACUUAGAGAACCACGGUUCUGAGGCUUUGAAGAACAAGCUGCCAUGAAUCCUGCAGCUACAAGGAAAUGAACUCUAUUAACUUGAGUGAGCUUAAAACUAGAUCCUUCCCCAGUCAAGCCUCCAGGUGAGAAUUCAAUCCUGGCUGGCACCUGGAUUGCAGCUUACAGAAGACCCAGCUAAGGCCAUGUCUGGACUUUAAAUCCACAGGAACUGCAAGAUGGUAUCAGAAGUGGGACCUGCAGUGGGGCAUCUAGCAACCCCCAGGAGCAUUGAGUGACCAGGCUUGGGACCCACCGGGCGCAGGGUGUCCAUUGUUCUCUCGAAGCAACUGAGAAUUGUGGAUAUUCUUCAUUAUUCCAUCAUCAUCUCAAACCUCUUGGGUAUAGUGUUUGACUACUACUGUGACCAUAAAUUCCAAUAAAACCUAGGAAAAAUGAAACCACUACAUUAACUGAAAGGAACCUGGUGGUUGUGGCCAUUCAAAGGGAGAACUGUACCCUCCUGGAUGGAGUCUGCUCAGUUCUCUGCUUCCCCUUCUCUCUCCACACUCAAAAUAGAGCGAUUGACAGGAAAAGGUGGGCAGUAGUCUGUGAGAACCGGAGUACAACCUCCUUCUACUUCUUGAGCAAAUGCAGGAUGGACACAAUAUCUUUGAAAUAACUCACGAGACUAAAAUUUCAAAAUGAACACAGCUGAGUUUAGAAUCCAAAAUGACAGCUUUAAUAACUAAUAUAACUAAAAUAUUCUUGAUUCUGACUAUGAUUAAGUAGUGGGAGUCCACUAACCAGGUACAUAUGGAUAUAUUUAACAUAGUAUCGUAAAAUUGGCAGCCAUUACUGAAAAACAAUGACAUAGUUUCAUUUCAUACUCUAAUGAAUUGUCUUGCUGAAAUAAGUCAGUUGUACAUUGUAAAAAUGAUAGAAGAAAUUACAGCCAGGACAGAAUAGCUGAGAGGAUAUUUGCAUCUUCUACCAUAAAACCUUUGUCGUCUCCUGUAGGAGCUUACUCACUUCUUGGGAGUACUUUAUUAACCCCUUGUAAAGGCAGAAAUCCCUCUGCUCUUCACCAACCUCUCAGAACAGUAGUUCCUCCCUACCUUCAGUGGGGGAUACAUUCCAAGACCCAUACUGGAUAUCUGCAACUGUGGAAGGCACCAAAUUGAAAUUCUUUUUCACAAUUUCAUGGGUAGAACAUUUGUUCUUAUCAUAGACCUUAGCAACCUCAGCUUAUGAUUUAUUUUCUUUCUGUAGUAAGUGGAGAAUUUUCACCUUUUUACUUGAAGGAAGGAUUUGACAGCUUCUUUUGGGCAUAUCAGAAUCGCCAGCAUCACUACUCUUGCACUGUGCGGCCAUUAUUAAGUGAAAUAAGGAUUACUUGAACACAAGCACUGCAAUGCCGCUACAGUCAAUGUGAUAACCCAGCUGGUGACUAAGUGACCAAGGACGGGGAGUAUCUACAGCGGGGAGACUCUGGAAAAAGGGAGGAUUCACAUCCAGUGCCACUGGGGCAGGGCAGAAUGAGAGUUCAUCAUGCUACAAAGAAUGGCACAGAAUAUACGACUUGUGAGUGGAUUAUCUCUGGAAUUUUCUGUUGACUACAUUUGUACUACAGUUGUAUGUGGGUAACAAACUGUGGAAAGUGAAACUUCGGGUAAGGGGGAGGCUACCGUAGAUAGCCCAGUAUUUCUUAUUUUGUGGAUUUGUUUAUCUUUCUGCUCACAUCCUUUUCCUUCUGCAUUACCAUUUUAGUAAAAAUAGAUAGCAUCCAUUUGGUGUUUAGUAUGUUUUUGGCACAGUCGAACAUUUUACAAACAUUAUAUCAUUUAAUCUGCAUAAAACCUAUACAGUAGGUACAACUAUUAUCCAGUUUUUUAGACAAGGCAAACUGGAUCACAGGGAGUUCAAAACGCCUCUUCCCUUGGUCAAGUUGGGUCAUGUAAUUGUCAAAGUUAAAACAUGCCCCUUAGGAGAUGAUUUAAAAUUCCCUAAUUUUUUAGAAGAAUCUUCAGUUUUCCCAGGAUAGAACAUUUAUUGAUAUGGUAAAUAUGUG
This 3189-nucleotide long non-coding RNA is filed under the name Homo sapiens (human). RNAcentral's name for it is "non-protein coding lnc-NKAIN3-14:4". Lineage: Eukaryota; Metazoa; Chordata; Mammalia; Primates; Hominidae. The record is from RNAcentral.